This 329-nucleotide small RNA is filed under the name Niveomyces insectorum RCEF 264. RNAcentral's name for it is "Sporothrix insectorum RCEF 264 A. fumigatus sRNA Afu_309". It matches the Rfam family "A. fumigatus sRNA Afu_309". Lineage: Eukaryota; Fungi; Ascomycota; Sordariomycetes; Hypocreales; Cordycipitaceae. The record is from Rfam by way of RNAcentral.
UUUCCUUCUACAAUCACGGAUCUGUGCCCAGACGUCCUCUGCUCGCCGCGUCUCUGUUUACAGAACGCGGCCGAGUUCAGAGUCGAUGUCUGCGGCAGUUCGAUACAUCCUAUGGAGACAUCGCAUGCUUUGCAAGAAGCUAUGGUGUCAAUGUCCUAUCGACAGGUCCCAGAGCAGUUGGGUUUUUCGUCUGGGGAGAAGCCGAGUUCGCCGCCUUUUGUGCGGCUGAGCGACGUGGACCAGACGGGGCCCGAGACCAUCAUAUUCCAAGCCGUUUUCUGAGACCGUCGGUCGAUGAGGUUGGGGAAAACCAUGAUAAGGUUACAUUU